UAUAUAGACAAUAUAGUGCGGUUGUGUAUAAAUAUCUCGUGCCAAGUGAUCCGUUUUAACAUUUGCACUUCAGAAAAUUAAAUGGAAAGCAAAAAAAUCAAACUCAUCCUUAUUUCCUUGACAUCGGUUAUUGUGUCUCUUCUUUUUAUGAAAGGAUAAUGGACAAUUGAGAUGUGAAUCUUUAAAGGCUGAAUGUUUCUUUUAGUGAUGAUCAAGAGGAAGAGCAUUUAGUGAGAUUUGUGCUCAAGUGUUGAGGCUGAGAAGUUGCAACCAUAAGUUGGAUAGUUUUUCGCUGACGCUUAAUGACGAAAUCGAUGGAGGAUUUGUAACUCGUUUGGUAGAUUAUCCAUUGGACAAUGGAAUAUAGUAGCCAACGCUUAGCAUAAUUGGUAUAGAAGGAAUUUUCCAAUUGAGUUCAAAAGUGUUUUUGUAAGCUACUCUUGUAAUUUUGAAGUAAGCAACUAACCGUUGUUUGAUUUGGAUAAAUGGAGAUGAUGAAGCUGUUAUUCAUCUUCCUUGUCAGAAGACCUUGUGGCUUGAAGACAUUCUAGUUGUUGAUGUUGACGUGUUUGUUAGUUUCUUAUCAGGUUGUCCAAUAUUAGAGGAGCUCGUGAUGAAAGAUAUGAAGUGGCAUAAAUGGUAAGCAUGAUUUGUAGUUAGCGCAAGUCUGAGAAAAUUGAAGAUAAUUUGGACUGGUUUUCUUCAGAUGAGUACGAUAAAUGUCCUCGGAAAUGAAACCUGAUGAAAUUUUAAAAUU
This 757-nucleotide small RNA is filed under the name Arabidopsis thaliana (thale cress). RNAcentral describes it as "ATSL057150". The record is from RNAcentral. Lineage: Eukaryota; Viridiplantae; Streptophyta; Magnoliopsida; Brassicales; Brassicaceae.